This 95-nucleotide non-coding RNA is filed under the name Sulfuritalea hydrogenivorans. RNAcentral's name for it is "c-di-GMP sequence". It matches the Rfam family "c-di-GMP-I riboswitch aptamer". Rfam says of the family: GEMM was predicted in a large-scale screen for bacterial structured RNA regulatory elements. Genes associated with GEMM are involved in a diverse array of functions, including chemotaxis regulation, signal transduction, secretion and chitin. The record is from RNAcentral. RNAcentral also lists the same sequence under 1 other name. Lineage: Bacteria; Pseudomonadati; Pseudomonadota; Betaproteobacteria; Nitrosomonadales; Sterolibacteriaceae.
UCUGAAACAGGGCAAACCCGUCGAAAGGCGGGGACGCAAAAUCACCGGCCUAACGGGCGCUCCCAGCGGCGCUCCACGGUAGCGGGAUUGCCAGG